This 488-nucleotide ribosomal RNA is filed under the name uncultured bacterium. RNAcentral describes it as "partial 16S ribosomal RNA". It matches the Rfam family "Bacterial small subunit ribosomal RNA", at positions 30 to 505 of the family's 1533-position model. The record is from RNAcentral.
AUUGAACGCUGGCGGCAGGCCUAACACAUGCAAGUCGAACGGUAACAGGAAGAAGCUUGCUUCUUUGCUGACGAGUGGCGGACGGGUGAGUAAUGUCUGGGAAACUGCCUGAUGGAGGGGGAUAACUACUGGAAACGGUAGCUAAUACCGCAUAACGUCGCAAGACCAAAGAGGGGGACCUUCGGGCCUCUUGCCAUCGGAUGUGCCCAGAUGGGAUUAGCUAGUAGGUGGGGUAACGGCUCACCUAGGCGACGAUCCCUAGCUGGUCUGAGAGGAUGACCAGCCACACUGGAACUGAGACACGGUCCAGACUCCUACGGGAGGCAGCAGUGGGGAAUAUUGCACAAUGGGCGCAAGUCUGAUGCAGCCAUGCCGCGUGUAUGAAGAAGGCCUUCGUGUUGUAAAGUACUUUCAGCGGGGAGGAAGGGAGUAAAGUUAAUACCUUUGCUCAUUGACGUUACCCGCAGAAGAAGCACCGGCUAACUCCG